Molecule: transfer RNA, 76 nt
Filed under: candidate division BRC1 bacterium ADurb.BinA364
Lineage: Bacteria; Candidatus Sumerlaeota
Description: tRNA-Thr
Rfam family: tRNA
About the family: Transfer RNA (tRNA) molecules are approximately 80 nucleotides in length. Their secondary structure includes four short double-helical elements and three loops (D, anti-codon, and T loops). Further hydrogen bonds mediate the characteristic L-shaped molecular structure. tRNAs have two regions of fundamental functional importance: the anti-codon, which is responsible for specific mRNA codon recognition, and the 3' end, to which the tRNAs corresponding amino acid is attached (by aminoacyl-tRNA synthetases). tRNAs cope with the degeneracy of the genetic code in two manners: having more than one tRNA (with a specific anti-codon) for a particular amino acid; and 'wobble' base-pairing, i.e. permitting non-standard base-pairing at the 3rd anti-codon position.
Source: RNAcentral
GCUGAAGUAGCUCAGCUGGUAGAGCAGCGCAUUCGUAAUGCGCCGGUCGGGGGUUCGAAUCCCCCCUUCAGCUCCA